Molecule: long non-coding RNA, 1122 nt
Organism: Myxocyprinus asiaticus (Chinese sucker)
Lineage: Eukaryota; Metazoa; Chordata; Actinopteri; Cypriniformes; Catostomidae
Exons: 3
Source: RefSeq, a predicted model, not a curated record
CAAAACACAGAGGCCAUUUUUGAGGAGAGAUUUGUUGAGAGACACACAAGAGCUCUCGAGUUCUGUGCUACAUUAGCUCAUGGAUCUGCCUUGCGUGUGAGUGUUAUGCAACUGUCGACAUGACAGAGGUGCUCCCAAUAAAAAGACCUCCAGUGUUAGAGAUACAUGGCACCCCAUCAAAGCUACAGAGUGAGGGGAAGUGAGCGUAGAGAGAGAGAGAUGAUCCUCUCUGAAGAUCUUGAGGAGCAAAGCAGCAUACCAACAUAGUCACGGAUUCAUAUCCCUAGGUUACCAGAGCCAGCCAGAUCCAGCUCCGUUUCUGCUUGGUGUCAGACUCCACUGCUAUGUGUCUCUGAGUAAUGAUGACUAAAUGCAGCCGGUGCCAGCCAGACAUCACUUCAGUCUAUUACGAUGGACUUCAGGGGAUGAACUGAUGCCAGCUCCAACCCUAAGACAUGGGAUACUUAAUGUGCCACUGCCUGAACCUUGGACAUAGGAUAGAUCUCACCGAAAUGACCUGCAGGUUGAUCUGUGAUGCACCUCAUAAUUUAUCUCUGCCUGCAUCACCUUUGUCUGUUAAUGGACCACACUCUUGAAAUGGAAUACACAGACUUUCAAUUAUUUGCCAACAAAACCCUUCAUCAGCCAACUAACAAAGGACAGUGCAUCAAUGUGAACUUCUGCACUUAAUCCAGGCUGAACUUUAAAGACGUUAGUCAUUAAUCUUACAGUUCAUACAAAAUCUUUGUAUAAACACUGGCCCUUAACACUUACUUACUAAUUUGAAACCAUGACUUGCUCUGCACACAAAUAACUAAUACUGGCAUUAUGUUCAUUCUGUUUAGCCAGAGGGGAACUGGCCCCCACAGUGAGCCUGGUUUCUUCCAAGGUUAUUUUUCUCUAUUACUCAAUAUUUAAUGGAGUUUUAUGUUCCUUGCCACAGUCGCCUUCAGCUUGCUCACUGGGGUUCUAAAUACAAUUAUUAUUUAACUAUUUAAUUAUUUAUUUUUAUACACAAUUUACAAUAAUAUUUAAUCAAACUACACAAUGAUGACUAAAUCUUUAUAGAUAUUACAGUUUUCAUUUUCUGUUAAUAAAUGAUUUUCUGUAAAGCUGCUUUGA